RNAcentral lists this ribosomal RNA (415 nucleotides) under uncultured bacterium. RNAcentral's name for it is "bacterial SSU rRNA". It matches the Rfam family "Bacterial small subunit ribosomal RNA", at positions 355 to 787 of the family's 1533-position model. The record is from RNAcentral.
UGGGGAAUAUUGCACAAUGGGGGAAACCCUGAUGCAGCGACGCCGCGUGAGUGAAGAAGUAUUUCGGUAUGUAAAGCUCUAUCAGCAGGGAAGAAAGUGACGGUACCUGACUAAGAAGCCCCGGCUAACUACGUGCCAGCAGCCGCGGUAAUACGUAGGGGGCAAGCGUUAUCCGGAUUUACUGGGUGUAAAGGGAGCGUAGACGGCGGAGCAAGUCUGAAGUGAAAGCCCCGGGCUUAACCCGGGAACUGCUUUGGAAACUGUACUGCUGGAGUGCUGGAGAGGUAAGCGGAAUUCCUAGUGUAGCGGUGAAAUGCGUAGAUAUUAGGAGGAACACCAGUGGCGAAGGCGGCUUACUGGACAGUCACUGACGUUGAGGCUCGAAAGCGUGGGGAGCAAACAGGAUUAGAUACCC